GGGAAUGCUGCUCAAAAUGGGAGGUAAACCCCUUCUAAAGCUAAAUACUGGCCAGAGACCGAUAGCGCACAAGUAGAGUGAUCGAAAGAUGAAAAGCACUUUGAAAAGAGAGUUAAAAAGCACGUGAAAUUGUUAAAAGGGAAGCGCUUGCGACCAGACUUGCGCCCGUCGGAUCAACCGUCGCUUGCGGCGGCGCACUCCGGCGGGCUCAGGCCAGCAUCAGUUCGUCCGGGGGGAGAAAGGCGGCGGGAAUGUGGCUCUUCGGAGUGUUAUAGCCCGCCGUGUAAUACCCUCGGGUGGACUGAGGACCGCGCGUAUGCAAGGAUGCUGGCGUAAUGGUCGUCAGCGACCCGUCUU
This 357-nucleotide ribosomal RNA is filed under the name Scopulariopsis brevicaulis (arsenic fungus). Its description in RNAcentral is "eukaryotic LSU rRNA". It matches the Rfam family "Eukaryotic large subunit ribosomal RNA", at positions 276 to 655 of the family's 3401-position model. The record is from RNAcentral. Lineage: Eukaryota; Fungi; Ascomycota; Sordariomycetes; Microascales; Microascaceae.